Camellia sinensis is the source of this 1165-nucleotide non-coding RNA. The record is from RefSeq and is a predicted model, not a curated record. Lineage: Eukaryota; Viridiplantae; Streptophyta; Magnoliopsida; Ericales; Theaceae.
UUCUACUCAGACAGUUCUCGCAUCCUAAUCAUCUCUAGCAUGUGAGUGAUUUUAUCUAUACAUUAUCCACUUAUUAUAUACAUGAAUUCUAAUUUCCAGUUGCAAGAUGUUGAUAAGUGAAACACUGUCAAUGGCUGAUCCUUGAACUUAUCAACAACAAAAAAAAUGGUAGAUCCUUCAACUUAUACUAAUAUGAUGAACAAAAUAUUCCAGUUCAGAUUCAGUUACUAUAUGCUGCUAUGCCAAUAGCUAGGGACUUCAGUUUGCCUGUUUAGAGGCUUAUUACCAUUGACUUUACUGCUUUGUGUGCUAUUUAACUUAUCAAAAAGCCUUGUUUUUAGUAUAACUCUGUUAGGUUCUAUGUCAGUUUCAUUGCUGAUAUGAACAAUUAAGAUUACUGGACAAUGUGUUACUCUCAAUGUAGCUAGAGUUCUAACCAGCUGAAGCUAGCAGAUGCGAAUUUUUAUUUCGAAUCAGCGUGAGGAUGGUCGGACCGUGGCAAGGCAUUUUUCUAUUGGUUAAAUGAUGGAUCAUCAAUCUUACACGACAAUAAUAUUCUCUGUUGUAGGCAAUGUGAGAUAUGUGGUUCCCGAACAAUAUAGAGCUGCCAAGGUGGCACUGAAACAGCAUAUGCAUAAAUCAUCUUUUUAGAGGGAACAUGGUUUGAUGAACCAAGAUGUUGAUUAUGGAUGUUCAAAUGAAAUUCAGCCAUGGGCUUGCUUAUUGACGUUGAAGUUUGUCUGAAGUAGUCACUCAAGAAUAAUGUGGAGCACUCCCCAGUAGCACAAGUAACCUUUACAUACUUGUGAACUAUCCAUAAGCAACUCCAGAUCCACAACACUAUCUAGGAGUCCUGGAAGCACCAGAUUCAGCUUCAAAGGAAAACUGAUUUGGUGGGUGUGAUAAGAAGACAGAGACAAAGACAACCCUUGUCCAUUGUGGAUCCAUACAGAGAUGUUGUGAAGUUGAAGAUGAUACAUAACCCAUCAAAUUCACACUCUCUUCAUUAUUCACAUCACAAUUUGAGGAGCUUUGAUUGGGGAUGCUUGACUUGUUGAACCCUUUUCAACUCCUGCCUAAAAAUUCUUGCAUUGAAGUCAACUCACAAGUAUUUUUUUUCCUUCAAUUGUAUCUACUUUAUAUUUGAAAUAUAUACUUACAUGAG